AGCUUUCUGAAUCCGUGCCGAGAUUUCGUCAAAUACUAACCCAUCAAGGUUGAUCAGACUUUCAAGAUAAGCGAAGUG
Schistosoma curassoni is the source of this 78-nucleotide non-coding RNA. The record is from Rfam. NCBI's taxonomy places the organism in Eukaryota, Metazoa, Platyhelminthes, Trematoda, Strigeidida, Schistosomatidae.